RNAcentral lists this ribosomal RNA (101 nucleotides) under Acinetobacter haemolyticus. RNAcentral describes it as "partial 16S ribosomal RNA". It matches the Rfam family "Bacterial small subunit ribosomal RNA", at positions 1 to 98 of the family's 1533-position model. The record is from RNAcentral. Lineage: Bacteria; Pseudomonadati; Pseudomonadota; Gammaproteobacteria; Moraxellales; Moraxellaceae.
UUAAACUGAAGAGUUUGAUCAUGGCUCAGAUUGAACGCUGGCGGCAGGCUUAACACAUGCAAGUCGAGCGGGGAAGUGUAGCUUGCUACAUUACCUAGCGG